This is a small nucleolar RNA of Saccharomyces arboricola H-6, 109 nucleotides long. It matches the Rfam family "Small nucleolar RNA snR87". The record is from Rfam. NCBI's taxonomy places the organism in Eukaryota, Fungi, Ascomycota, Saccharomycetes, Saccharomycetales, Saccharomycetaceae.
GUGACUGUAUGAUGAUAUAAUUUGCGAUCAAGGGCUAAUCACCUGGAACACCGCCAUGUUCUAUGUGGGUGUUUAGCGAAAUGCGAAAAGUUUUUUAUCUGACGUUUUC